GAUGAACGCUAGCGGCAGGCUUAAUACAUGCAAGUCGAGGGGCAACAGACCACUUCGGUGGUGCUGGCGACCGGCAAACGGGUGCGCAACACGUAUGCAACCUACCUCUAUCAGGGGGGAUACCCCCGGGAAACUGGGAUUAAUACCCUAUAAUAUUAUGAAUCCGCAUGGUUUUAUAAUUAAAGCUCUGGCAGAUAGAGAUGGGCGUGCGUCUGAUUAGGUAGUUGGUAGGGUAAUGGCCUACCAAGCCGACGAUCAGUAGCUGAUGUGAGAGCAUGAUCAGCCACACGGGCACUGAGACACGGGCCCGAUCCUACGGGAGCAGCAGUAGGGAAUAUUGGGCAAUGGAGGAAACUCUGACCCAGCCAUGCCGCGUGAAGGAUGAAUGUCCUUUGGAUUGUAACUUCUUUUAUAAGGGAGAAACCUGCGGAUUCAUCUGCAGCUGACGGUACCUUUUGAAUAAGCACCGGCUAACUCCGUGCCA
This 484-nucleotide ribosomal RNA is filed under the name uncultured bacterium. RNAcentral describes it as "bacterial SSU rRNA". It matches the Rfam family "Bacterial small subunit ribosomal RNA", at positions 28 to 510 of the family's 1533-position model. The record is from RNAcentral.